This 252-nucleotide ribosomal RNA is filed under the name uncultured bacterium. RNAcentral's name for it is "partial 16S ribosomal RNA". It matches the Rfam family "Bacterial small subunit ribosomal RNA", at positions 525 to 776 of the family's 1533-position model. The record is from RNAcentral.
ACGGAGGGUGCAAGCGUUAAUCGGAAUUACUGGGCGUAAAGCGCGCGUAGGCGGCUUUUUAAGUCGGAUGUGAAAGCCCUGGGCUCAACCUGGGAACUGCAUCCGAUACUGGAAGGCUAGAGUGCGAGAGAGGGAGGUAGAAUUCCAUGUGUAGCAGUGAAAUGCGUAGAUAUAUGGAGGAAUACCAGUGGCGAAGGCGGCCUCCUGGCUCGACACUGACGCUGAGGUGCGAAAGCGUGGGGAGCAAACAGG